GGGGUCGACUGGUUUUGACAGCAAGCCUAAGCAUGAAGUAAGCACGUCGAGCUAUGAGACUAAUGCUCGUUAAUCUCUGUUUCAACACUUUAAAUGGCGAAGAUAACUACGCUCUUGCUGCCUAAUCUGAAUGAUAGUAGGAUUUCUGGCUAAGUCCCUACUAAGUAGGGAAGCGAGAUGUCUCUGAAAGCCCUUGUUGAUGGCUCGUCACUUAAGAGGCACCAUUAAAAUCAACAUGGGACUUACCAAUGGCUUCUUUUGGUAGGUUCAGCUCUUAUAGAAGAUAAGGAGAUUGUGGGGUGUUUCCGCUCAGCAAUAUCACGAAAAUCAAAUGGAAACUAAGCGUGUAGAAAGCCUUGUGGUUACUUGUUUGGACGAGAGUUCGAAUCUCUCCGACUCCACAG
Capnocytophaga sp. oral taxon 338 is the source of this 404-nucleotide non-coding RNA. It matches the Rfam family "transfer-messenger RNA". From Rfam's summary of the family: Bacterial tmRNA, also known as 10Sa RNA or SsrA, is named for its dual tRNA and mRNA-like properties. Its role is to liberate the mRNA from a stalled ribosome. The record is from Rfam. NCBI's taxonomy places the organism in Bacteria, Pseudomonadati, Bacteroidota, Flavobacteriia, Flavobacteriales, Flavobacteriaceae.